AUACGACGAUAUCACGACGAAUCCCCGGUUCACGACCGAUCAACGAAGUUAAACAAUGUCGAUCCUGGUUAGUACUCUGAUGGGUGACCGCUUCCGAAUACAAGGUGUUGAAA
This is a non-coding RNA of Acanthosepion pharaonis, 113 nucleotides long. The record is from the annotation of a GenBank genome assembly. Lineage: Eukaryota; Metazoa; Mollusca; Cephalopoda; Sepiida; Sepiidae.